This is a long non-coding RNA of Pyrus x bretschneideri (Chinese white pear), 899 nucleotides long. RefSeq lists it as uncharacterized. Lineage: Eukaryota; Viridiplantae; Streptophyta; Magnoliopsida; Rosales; Rosaceae. The transcript has 2 exons. The record is from RefSeq and is a predicted model, not a curated record.
GACCUUUUUACGGUGUAUCGGAUUCCCAAACAAAAAGGAAAUCCAUGGGCCCACCUGUCCCCACCCACAAGGCGGCAAAAUAACGUGGGUUGGAUGGUAACGUCCAGCUCAUGAAUCACCAACCACAACGCCCCAUAUGAACCGUCCAUCUCAAAGAUGAGGAGUCAAAUCCCAUACGUCCAUCGCAUCUCUUAUCCCAUUAUAAAAGUACGUUAGGGUGCCUGGCUCUCAACCAUUCAAAGUUUCAACGCCACCAAUCUUCUCUCUCUUCACGACUCUAUGCAUCUCCUCCUUAUUUCUUCUGCAGAUCUACUCUGCAUGGAUCGUUCUCUCUGUCUAAUUCUUGCGGAUUCGCGUAGAUCGCAUCGAGAUCUACGCGUUGAUGGUCGUUUGAGAUUGUUAGGAUGAUUUGAUAUGCUUUUGCACUUCAGCCGGUUAAACCGGCUUGCGUCUGUGUCUUCGAUUCCAAAUUCACAGAUGUAGCUACGGAGCUCUUGCACAAUCUAUGGAGGUUUGAAUCCUUAUGUUUCCGAGCUUGAUUCGAUGGCGUUGUGAAUGCUACAAUUGUAAUUUGAGUCUUAUGAAGGCUGAAGGUGCUCUAAACCGAAUCGAUGGCUAUGUGAAUGCUACAAUUGUAAUUUGAUGAUUGGGAAUCUGAGAGAUGGGGGUUUAUGGGGUUAAUUGGGUUCGCAUCGGAUGUAUGAGAUGUCGGGACGAAAGGCUCGGUGGAAGAGCCGAGUCCUGGACCGAUCUUUGUCAUCCGGCCUUUGCCAUGGCAGGUGCGCUUGCAUGGCAGGUCAUAAAAAUCUCAAUAAAAAAAGUAACAUGUUUUGGUUUGGAGUGGAGACAGCAUGGGGAUUUUUUGGCCCAGGGUCUCUCCUCCGGUGUGUGGUGUGCCA